RNAcentral lists this ribosomal RNA (423 nucleotides) under uncultured bacterium. RNAcentral's name for it is "partial 16S ribosomal RNA". It matches the Rfam family "Bacterial small subunit ribosomal RNA", at positions 360 to 775 of the family's 1533-position model. The record is from RNAcentral.
AAUUUUGGACAAUGGGGGAAACCCUGAUCCAGCCAUCCCGCGUGUAUGAUGAAGGCCUUCGGGUUGUAAAGUACUUUUGGCCGCGAAGAAAAGGUACCUCCUAAUACGAGGUACUGCUGACGGUAUCUGCGGAAUAAGCACCGGCUAACUACGUGCCAGCAACCGCGGUAAUACGUAGGGUUCAACCGUUAAUCGGAAGUACUGGGCGUAAAGCGUGUGUAGGCGGUUCGGAAAGAAAGAUGUGAAAUCCGAGGGCUCAACCUGGGAAAUGCAUUUUUAACUGACGAGCUAGAGUAUGUCAGAGGGGGGUAGAAUUCCACGUGUAGCAGUGAAAUGCGUAGAUAUGUGGAGGAAUACCGAUGGCGAAGGCAGCCCCCUGGGAUAAUACUGACGCUCAGACACGAAAGCGUGGGGAGCAAACAG